ACCUGGGUGGCUCAGUCGGUUAAGUGUCUGACUUUGGCUCAGGUCAUGAUCUCAUGGUUCAUGGGUUCGAGCCCCACUCCGGGCU
This 85-nucleotide transfer RNA is filed under the name Felis catus (domestic cat). It matches the Rfam family "tRNA". Rfam says of the family: Transfer RNA (tRNA) molecules are approximately 80 nucleotides in length. Their secondary structure includes four short double-helical elements and three loops (D, anti-codon, and T loops). Lineage: Eukaryota; Metazoa; Chordata; Mammalia; Carnivora; Felidae. The record is from Rfam by way of RNAcentral.